This 658-nucleotide long non-coding RNA is filed under the name Medicago truncatula (barrel medic). RNAcentral describes it as "lncRNA gene31380". The record is from RNAcentral. Lineage: Eukaryota; Viridiplantae; Streptophyta; Magnoliopsida; Fabales; Fabaceae.
GUCAUCAAUGCUUUUUAUGGGUUUAUUAAUUGAGAAUAUCGAAGUCAUCAAUGAAGAGUAUAAAAUGUGAUAGGCCUAAAUUGAAGGCCAUGUAGAUACAUCCAAAAUUAAGAGAGAAAUAAACAAGCUAAUUAUAAUAUUAUUUAGUGACUUAUUUAAUUUAUUACCAACAUCUUAGAUAAUAAAGCCAUAAUUUCAAUGUUUGUGAAGCUACGAAAGGAAAUGAAAAAUACAAUUAUUGGGAUUGAUUGUAAUAACUAAAUAGAAACUAUGAAAUAAUCAAGCAUAUUUUAUAUUGCAUAAUAUUUUUACUAGUGUAGGAACUGAUUCUUCUCUGCACGAGGUUUAUAUGGAUCCAAAUCAACAUAUAUACAUACAUUUUCACGACACUUGAUCGCGAAAAAUCUUAAAGAGAGUUGUGGACAUUCCUCAUCACUGCGACAUGGACCACCCACUGUAAUGAAUAAAGACAAUAAACUAAUGUUAAUAAAACAAGACAAAAUAUUUUAUACAAACAACAAGGUAGAAAAUGAAAUUUGAAAAGUAUAAAAAAAAAUAGCUUACAUUCAGCGCUCAUUGAAACAAGAUAUAGGGAAACAAAUAAAAUCAAAGCAAACACAAGCUUGCAAGUUUUUGCCAUUUUUAUCUUUCUUUGCAU